This 72-nucleotide transfer RNA is filed under the name Careproctus marginatus. Its description in RNAcentral is "tRNA-Thr". It matches the Rfam family "tRNA". Rfam says of the family: Transfer RNA (tRNA) molecules are approximately 80 nucleotides in length. Their secondary structure includes four short double-helical elements and three loops (D, anti-codon, and T loops). RNAcentral also lists the same sequence under 1 other name. The record is from RNAcentral. Lineage: Eukaryota; Metazoa; Chordata; Actinopteri; Perciformes; Liparidae.
GCAAUAGUAGCUCAGCCUUAGAGCCUCGGUCUUGUAAACCGGACGUCGAAGGUUAAAAUCCCUCCUUUUGCU